Molecule: small nucleolar RNA, 186 nt
Organism: Gossypium raimondii (Peruvian cotton)
Lineage: Eukaryota; Viridiplantae; Streptophyta; Magnoliopsida; Malvales; Malvaceae
Rfam family: Plant small nucleolar RNA U3
About the family: Small nucleolar RNAs (snoRNAs) are involved in the processing and modification of rRNA in the nucleolus. There are two main classes of snoRNAs: the box C/D class, and the box H/ACA class.
Source: Rfam
ACGACCUUACUUGAACAGGAUCUGUUCUAUAGGUUCGUAUCUCUAUGUCCUUAAGUUCAAAGGAGACAGGAUUCCUAGUCAUGGAACCAUGUGUGAUUACUGGUCUGGUGUUUCACUUCGACCGCAGAGGAUUGUUUUCAGCUUGCCUUGCGCGGCUGGGAAGGUCACGCAGUUGUCUGACAGACU